GGGGUUGUGGCUCAGCGGUAGAGCGCUCACCUAGCAUGUGCAAAGCCCUGUGUCUGAUCCUCAGCACCACAUAAAAAUAAAUAAACAAAAUAAAGGUAUUGUGUACAACUAAAAAAUAAAUAUUGAAGUGAAAAGAAAAGAAUAUGGUCUUGGGAGUUGAGGUUGUGACUCAGUAGUAGAUUGUUCGCCUGGCAUGCUUGAGGCACUGAGUUCAAUUCUCAGCACCACA
RNAcentral lists this transfer RNA (229 nucleotides) under Marmota monax (woodchuck). Its description in RNAcentral is "tRNA.Ala". The record is from RNAcentral. Lineage: Eukaryota; Metazoa; Chordata; Mammalia; Rodentia; Sciuridae.